CCUACGGGAGGCUGCAGUGAGGAAUAUUGGUCAAUGGACGAGAGUCUGAACCAGCCAAGUAGCGUGAAGGAUGACUGCCCUAUGGGUUGUAAACUUCUUUUAUAUGGGAAUAAAAUGUUCCACGUGUGGGAUUUUGUAUGUACCAUAUGAAUAAGGAUCGGCUAACUCCGUGCCAGCAGCCGCGGUAAUACGGAGGAUCCGAGCGUUAUCCGGAUUUAUUGGGUUUAAAGGGAGCGUAGGUUGAUUGUUAAGUCAGUUGUGAAAGUUUGCGGCUCAACCGUAAAAUUGCAGUUGAAACUGGCAGUCUUGAGUACAGUAGAGGUGGGCGGAAUUCGUGGUGUAGCGGUGAAAUGCUUAGAUAUCACGAAGAACUCCGAUUGCGAAGGCAGUUCACUGGACUGCAACUGACACUGAGGCUCGAAAGUGUGGGUAUCAAACAGGAUUAGAUACCCUUGUAGUC
This 460-nucleotide ribosomal RNA is filed under the name uncultured bacterium. Its description in RNAcentral is "partial 16S ribosomal RNA". It matches the Rfam family "Bacterial small subunit ribosomal RNA", at positions 338 to 795 of the family's 1533-position model. The record is from RNAcentral.